AGAGUUUGAUCCUGGCUCAGAACGAACGCUGGCGGCGUGGAUAAGACAUGCAAGUCGAGCGCGACUUUUACUGUAGCAAUACAGUGAAAGUUGAGCGGCGCAAGGGUGCGUAACACGUGGGUAAUUUGCCGUGGAGUUGGGGAUAACUCGCUGAAAGGCGAGCUAAUACCGAAUGUGGAAUGAGAGUGGCAUCACUUUUCUUCUAAAGCUGGGGAUCGUAAGACCUGGCGCUCCAUGAUAAGCCCGCGGCCUAUCAGCUAGUUGGUGCGGUAACGGCGCACCAAGGCUAAGACGGGUAGCUGGUCUGAGAGGACGACCAGCCACACUGGAACUGAGACACGGUCCAGACACCUACGGGUGGCAGCAGUCGAGAAUUUUUCUCAAUGGGCGCAAGCCUGAAGGAGCGACGCCGCGUGUGGGAUGAAGGGUUUCGAUCCGUAAACCACUGUCAUUUGUGAACAAUGGUUAUUAUUUAAAAGAUGAUAACUUGAUAGUAAUGAAAGAGGAAGGGACGGCUAACUCUGUGCCAGCAGCCGCGGUAAUACAGAGGUCCCGAGCGUUGUUCGGAUUCACUGGGCGUAAAGGGUGCGUAGGUGGCAUGUUAAGUUUGAUGUGAAAGCUCAGGGCUCAACCCUGAAAUGGCAUUGAAUACUAGCGUGCUGGAGGUUUGGAGGGGGGACUGGAAUUCUCGGUGUAGCAGUGAAAUGCGUAGAUAUCGAGAGGAACACCAGUGGUGAAGGCGAGUCCCUGGACAACACCUGACACUGAGGCACGAAAGCUAGGGGAGCAAACAGGAUUAGAUACCCUGGUAGUCC
RNAcentral lists this ribosomal RNA (815 nucleotides) under uncultured bacterium. Its description in RNAcentral is "bacterial SSU rRNA". It matches the Rfam family "Bacterial small subunit ribosomal RNA", at positions 8 to 796 of the family's 1533-position model. The record is from RNAcentral.